This 506-nucleotide ribosomal RNA is filed under the name Paecilomyces variotii. Its description in RNAcentral is "partial large subunit ribosomal RNA". It matches the Rfam family "Eukaryotic large subunit ribosomal RNA", at positions 104 to 626 of the family's 3401-position model. The record is from RNAcentral. Lineage: Eukaryota; Fungi; Ascomycota; Eurotiomycetes; Eurotiales; Thermoascaceae.
GAGCUCAAAUUUGAAAUCUGGCCCCUCCGGGGUCCGAGUUGUAAUUUGCAGAGGAUGCUUCGGGCGCGGUCCCCGUCUAAGUACCCUGGAACGGGUCGUCAUAGAGGGUGAGAAUCCCGUCUGGGACGGGUGGCCGUGUCCGUGUGAAGCUCCUUCGACGAGUCGAGUUGUUUGGGAAUGCAGCUCUAAAUGGGUGGUAAAUUUCAUCUAAAGCUAAAUAUUGGCCGGAGACCGAUAGCGCACAAGUAGAGUGAUCGAAAGAUGAAAAGCACUUUGAAAAGAGAGUUAAACAGCACGUGAAAUUGUUGAAAGGGAAGCGCUUGCGACCAGACUCGCCCGCGGGGGUUCAGCCGGUACUCGUACCGGUGUACUCCCCCGGGGGCGGGCCAGCGUCGGUUUGGGCGGUCGGUCAAAGGCCUCCGGAAUGUGUCGCCCCCCGGGGCGUCUUAUAGCCGGAGGUGCAAUGCGGCCAGCCUGGACCGAGGAACGCGCUUCGGCUCGGACGC